This 520-nucleotide unclassified non-coding RNA is filed under the name uncultured Glomus. Its description in RNAcentral is "SSU rRNA". It matches the Rfam family "Eukaryotic small subunit ribosomal RNA", at positions 569 to 1091 of the family's 1831-position model. The record is from RNAcentral. Lineage: Eukaryota; Fungi; Glomeromycota; Glomeromycetes; Glomerales; Glomeraceae.
CGCAGCCGCGGUAAUUCCAGCUCCAAUAGCGUAUAUUAAAGUUGCUACAGUUAAAAAGCUCGUAGUUGAAUUUCGGGACCAUCAUGUUGGUCGUGCCUCGGUACGUACUGGCAUUGUUGGUUUCUCCCUUCUGACGAACCAUGAUGUCAUUUAUUUGGUGUCGUGGGAAAUCAGGACUGUUACUUUGAAAAAAUUAGAGUGUUUAAAGCAGGCUCACGCUUGAAUACAUUAGCAUGGAAUAAUGAAAUAGGACGUUUGAUUCUAUUUUGUUGGUUUCUAGGAUCGACGUAAUGAUUAAUAGGGAUAGUUGGGGGCAUUAGUAUUCAAUUGUCAGAGGUGAAAUUCUUGGAUUUAUUGAAGACUAACUACUGCGAAAGCAUUUGCCAAGGAUGUUUUCAUUAAUCAAGAACGAAAGUUAGGGGAUCGAAGACGAUCAGAUACCGUCGUAGUCUUAACCAUAAACUAUGCCGACUAGGGAUCGGAUGAUGUUAAUUUUUUAAUGACUCAUUCGGCGCCUUAC